AUGCUGAGCUCUGGAUAUGGAAACAACAGAUGGCAGAGGAAGAUGAAGCAGUGGUAGGGGCCCCAAGGAAGCUUCCCCAUUGUCAUCAUGCAAGAUUUAGUCAACUUGAUCUGGUCACCAAAAUAGAUCUGCUUCUAAAAUAAGAUGCUCUUCCCAGUCACCUCACCUUGUUCAUCUCCAGUGUUGAAGGCCAGUUAAAAUAUUCUUGGGCCACUAAAUAUCUACAGUAUUUUUUUUUUUUCUCCUCACACAUAUGUUUACAUAAAAUGCAAAUACAUCUUUGUAAUUUUUUAAUAUGCAAAUAUAUUCAUCAAAACACCAUUCUGCUGCA
Musa acuminata subsp. malaccensis (wild Malaysian banana) is the source of this 331-nucleotide long non-coding RNA. RefSeq lists it as uncharacterized. The record is from RefSeq and is a predicted model, not a curated record. Lineage: Eukaryota; Viridiplantae; Streptophyta; Magnoliopsida; Zingiberales; Musaceae.